This 204-nucleotide long non-coding RNA is filed under the name Phoenix dactylifera (date palm). RNAcentral's name for it is "long non-coding RNA (PDAC_LNC014291)". Lineage: Eukaryota; Viridiplantae; Streptophyta; Magnoliopsida; Arecales; Arecaceae. The record is from RNAcentral.
GAGGAUGAUAGUGUUAUUUUGAUGAUUAACAAGCAAUAAUCAAGAGUAUGUUACAAGUUAAUUCGAUACUUCAUUUAUAAGUCUGUUACUCUCAGUAUAUUUGUAUAAAUGUAUUUCAUUGUUUAUUUGGAUGAAUCUAACAUUGAGUUGCAGCAAAGUGUGGAUUGAGUCGACCCCAAGGAUGAUUGGGUCGACCCCGGCACA